CAAGACUUGACAUCCUAUGACCGCCAUAGAAAUAUGGAAUCCCUUCUGGGCAUAUAGACGGGUGGUGCAUGGUUGUCUUCAGCUCGUGUCGUGAGAUGUUGGGUUAAGUCCCGCAACGAGCGCAACCCUUGUGAAUAGUUGCCAAUAUUAAGUUAAGAACUCUAUUCAUACUGCCAUGGAUAACACGGAGGAAGGUGGGGAUGACGUCAAAUCAUCAUGCCCCUUACGUCUUGGGCUACACACGUGCUACAAUGGCUAUUACAAAGAGCAGCGAGAUGGUGACAUGGAGCGAAUCUCAUAAAAAUAGUCUCAGUUCGGAUUGUGAGCUGCAACCCGCCCACAUGAACUCGGAGUUGCUAGUAAUCCCGAAUCAGAAUGUCCGGGUGAAUGCGUUCCC
RNAcentral lists this ribosomal RNA (397 nucleotides) under uncultured bacterium. RNAcentral describes it as "bacterial SSU rRNA". It matches the Rfam family "Bacterial small subunit ribosomal RNA", at positions 975 to 1375 of the family's 1533-position model. The record is from RNAcentral.